UACAGAGGGUGCAAGCGUUAAUCGGAAUUACUGGGCGUAAAGCGUGCGUAGAUGGUUAUGUAAGUCGGAUGUGAAAGCCCAGGGCUCAACCUUGGAAUUGCAUUCGAGACUGCAUAGCUAGGAUGCGGAAGAGGGAAGCGGAAUUUCCGGUGUAGCGGUGAAAUGCGUAGAUAUCGGAAGGAACACCAGUGGCGAAAGCGGCUUCCUGGUCCAGCAUCGACGUUCAGGCACGAAAGCGUGGGGAGCAAACAGG
This 253-nucleotide ribosomal RNA is filed under the name uncultured bacterium. Its description in RNAcentral is "partial 16S ribosomal RNA". It matches the Rfam family "Bacterial small subunit ribosomal RNA", at positions 524 to 776 of the family's 1533-position model. The record is from RNAcentral.